RNA transcript from Pieris brassicae (large cabbage white), 2908 nucleotides. It is a transcript of the gene named juvenile hormone epoxide hydrolase-like, with no coding region annotated. The transcript is spliced from 15 exons. The record is from RefSeq and is a predicted model, not a curated record. NCBI's taxonomy places the organism in Eukaryota, Metazoa, Arthropoda, Insecta, Lepidoptera, Pieridae.
AUAAUUUUGAUAGCUAUGAUUAAAUACAAGAUUUGCCGUAUACUCCUAGUGGGCGUUCUAGCCCUGUUUGCGGUACCAGUUCUGUACAUCUACACGAAAACACCACCGCCUCUACCAGACCUAGAUUUAGAGGAAUGGUGGGGAACGAAGCUAUCAAUGUCAAAGCAAAAUGAUAGUAUAGUGCCUUUCCAUGUGGAGUUUAAUGAUAUCAAUAUAAAAGACAUAAAAGAGCGUCUUCGAGACCGACAUCCACUUACUCCAACAUUAGAAGGCGUCACAUUCGAAUAUGGAUUUAACAGCAAACAACUGGAGUCCUGGCUCAAGUACUGGGUUGAGGAAUAUCCUUAUAGCGAACGCGAAACGUAUAUAAACAAGUACCCACAAUUUAAAACUAACAUUCAGGGUUUGAAUAUUCAUUUCGUAAGAAUUAAGCCUGAGAAGGUACCCGCUGGCAAAGAAACCGUACCCCUCCUACUUCUUCAUGGGUGGCCAGGUUCUUUCUUGGAAUUUUAUGAAGCCGUUCCUCAUCUGAUGGCUCUAAGUAAAGAUAGGGACUUCGUUUUUGAACUUAUUAUUCCAAGCUUGCCCGGAUAUGGAUUCUCAAGUGCGGCAACUCGACCUGGUCUUGGUGCAGACAAGAUGGCGGUGGUAAUGAAAAACUUAAUGAACAGACUUGGGCACAAGAAGUUCUACGUCCAGGGUGGUGAUUGGGGUGCGCUUAUUGGCAGUUUAAUGGCUACGUUUUUCCCGCAGGAGGUACUAGGUUACCACUCAAACAUGCCUUUCUUGAGCACAACAUCGUCUACAAUAAUUCGUGUGCUCGGUUCCAUUUAUCCCCCAUUGGUAGUGAGUUCGGAAGCUGCAGACAGAAUGUAUCCCAUGUCUAAGUACUUUGGGAUGCUGCUAGAGGAAACUGGAUAUUUCCACAUACAAGCCACUAAACCAGAUACAGUUGGUAUAGCUCUAAGCGACAGUCCAGCUGGCUUGGCAGCGUAUAUUCUUGAAAAGUUCUCCACAUGGACACGUCUUGACCACCGCUCAAAACCUGACGGUGGUCUCACGUACCGUUUCUCCAAAGAACGGCUCAUCGACAACCUGAUGGUCUACUGGGUUUCGAACUCCAUAACGACCUCUAUGCGCAUGUACGCUGAGACGUUUAAUAAGAGAUUUUUGAGCCAGAAUUUGGAUGAAAUACAAACGCCAGUUCCGACCUGGAUAAUUCAAGCAAAACAAGAGGUAAUAUACGUUCCUGGCUGGAUCCUCAAAUUCAAGUACACAAACCUUUUGAACGAGACCAUACUCCAGGACGGCGGCCACUUCUUAGCGAUGGAGCUGCCUGAGAUUUUCUCUAAAGAUGUGCUGAAGGCUGUUGACGCAUUCCGGAAGUGGCAUAAACAACAACAAAGAACAGAGUUGUAAUUUUAAUGUAUGUACUAAAUUAUUGUAAAAGAACGAAUCCUCGCCUUCCGCAACUGCUGUCAAAAAUACUAUUAUGCCAGCCUUCAUUCAUUUCCAAACCCUAAAAGAUUCCGUCAUUAAUUGAAUUCUUGGGUUAAUCUUACUGGUGUUUUUGGAUUGAUCAUAAUAACCGAUUAAAUGCUUUAGCCAUUCCAUCUCUUCAUUCGAAUGGCUUUCAUGGAAAACUUCCUUACCCUAGUGAAAUGGUCAGUCAGGAAAUGGAACUGAACACCCAAUUAGACUUGCCUGUGGCUCAGCAUCUUCUUCUGCUGUAACCACUCAACAGAAUGUUAAGCACAACAUCAAAAGAUCAUCAAAAAGGUAUUCAGAAUAUGCUGCUAUAAUGCUGGACCAUGGUUAUUGCAAGAAAAGAUCUUCAAAAGUUAAUUGUAGGUAUGCUGGCUAUACGCCUUCCAGCUAGUUGUGACUUCGACUUGCGAAAGAAAGGCUGGCACACAGUCGUGCCAGUGAAGAGCUUUUUUCGCAGGCUGUAGCAACCCCCUUGUAGCUUCGGAAAGAACGGCGCUGUGCAAAUUGACAGUAAAAAGUACUUACCAAAAACAAAUUUGUAACUUGAGAAGAGAAAAAGUGGUCAUUCAUUUAAGGCGCGGCUUGCAAAAGCCGAAAAACUGGAGACCAACACUACUUUUCAAAAAGUAGUUACAGGUAUGACACCACAAGCCAAAUUGUUUACCGCCAUGCAGAUGGAAACGGCGAAAACACAAAAGGGUCGUCGUUUUUGUUUGGAAGAAAAAGUAUUGCCCUCGUCUUUGUAUAAGAGGAUUCCCAAGUUUUAUGCCUUGAUGGCAAAAUAUUUUACAUUGCCAUCAAUAAAAUGAAUUGAAAGUAAUAAUACAGGAAGUUAUCAAAAAUGUGUAAGCAACUGGCUUGACCGUUUUAUGUACUGUGUGUGACCAGAGCACAGUUGAUGUGAGUGUUAUUAAUGAGCUUGUGGCCGAUACAAGAGUAAAUUAUCUCAGAAAAGGAAAGGAGACCAAAGUUAAAUUCUUUGAAAUGAACAAAUGAAAAAUUAUUCCCAUUUAUGAUGUUCCACAUUUAUUAAAAGGGCUGAGGAAUAACCUUCUUACCAAAGAUUUGGUUUAUAUUGAACCCGAAGACCAAAAACAGAAACUCAUCAACACAUCAAUGGGAAUCAUUUUAAGGAAAUACAAAGUGUAGGUGUGACACAUUUAAAAAAAAAUGUUCCAAAGUGUGCUGUAAAAGGUACGAUAAAAAUGUACACUGACAUAUUUGUGUCAUUUCCCUUCAAAUGUGUUCAAACCACAUAAAAAACAAAACUUCAAACACAUAGAUGUUCUUCGUUCUUCAAAACACAUAAAGAGGCUAUCUAAAAAAAAAUUUGAAGAAAUGACACUGAAUGUCUUAAUAUACAGUUGGUGCAGGCAUCAUCACCUACUCUGGUGAUGAUGAAAUAAAAUCUUUCGCCCAA